Molecule: non-coding RNA, 298 nt
Organism: Paramuricea clavata
Lineage: Eukaryota; Metazoa; Cnidaria; Anthozoa; Malacalcyonacea; Plexauridae
Source: the annotation of a GenBank genome assembly
UACCAUUUGAGAUUAGGUCUUGUGGUGUGUCCUUUUUCGAUCGUAGCUACUGUUUAUGGUCAUUUAUAAGGAUGUUUGUUAACGCAAGGUUGUCAUUUAUGUAAUAGGUCACCAGAGAGGUCUACUCUACUGCAGGUUGAAUAUCAAAAUAUUUCGCUCACUCUCCACUUUGCUAUCCAGUUUGUAACAUCCUCAUAUAUUUUGGGUUACUCCAGAUAAACUGUACCAGAUCCUGAAAUAAAAUAUACAGAUAGAGAUUAACCAUUCUGAUGAUUUUCCAGGGCUUGAAAUAACAGCC